RNAcentral lists this ribosomal RNA (322 nucleotides) under uncultured eukaryote. RNAcentral describes it as "partial 18S ribosomal RNA". It matches the Rfam family "Eukaryotic small subunit ribosomal RNA", at positions 1470 to 1796 of the family's 1831-position model. The record is from RNAcentral.
CCCUUAGAUGUUCUGGGCCGCACGCGUGCUACACUGAGUGGAUCAGCGGGUCAGGUUGCGCGAAAGCGUUUCCUAAUCUUUAAAUCCGCUCGUGAUGGGGAUUGACGGUUGCAAUUUUCUGUCAUGAACGAGGAAUACCUUGUAAGCGCGGGUCAUCAUCCCGCGCUGAAUACGUCCCUGCCCUUUGUACACACCGCCCGUCGCUCCUACCGAUUGAAUGGCUUAGUGAGCUUUCUGGACUGUUGCACUUCGUUGGAAACUUCGUUGUGCAUACGGGAAGGAAAUCAAACUUGAUCAUUUAGAGGAAGUAAAAGUCGUAACA